CAGGAUCUCCUGUUUACUAGACAGGCGCUUUAACCAACUAAGCCACGGCGCCGCUACGGACAAAAGGAGGAGAUGAAUGGUAAAGAACGAUAGACUUAAGUCCAAAGGUUAGGGCCCGAGGAGGAGCAGGCGGGGAAGGAGAAUCGGGAACGCGCGAGUUCCGGAAGGAAAUACAUCGGCGACUUGAAAGUUUCAAGUAGAAACCGACGGAGUCUCGGGAAACCGCCGCGGAGUUACCUGCCCUGCGCAGAGGCCGCCGCCCCCCCAGGUGGGCUCCGGGCAACUGCUACUCCGUAUCCAAGCCGGCCUCGGGCCGAGUGGCGGAGGGGACGGGCUGGUCCGGCUGCUCUGGGGUAGACCCGGAGCUCCGCGCUCAGACCACCCGGCACACACAUACUUGAAAUCUCUCUCCGUCACUCCAGAAGAGAGGCCAUUUGGGGGAGACACCAACUGAAACUGAUCCAGGGAAAUCCCUCGGCAAAUGCAGCCUUAGUUUGCAGGCUCCGGUGAGGAAGACUAAGAGUAUAGGAGGCGCUUUUCCGUACUGGCUGGGUAGUGUGGUGGCGCGGGCUUUGCUUUGGCAGCCGAUAGUCGGGGGUUCGAGCCUGUUGACUUCUGAGAGUUGUGUAAUUGCGCGGGGACCCUUGCAGUUUUAGGAAUCGAUUUUUUCAUGCCCGAUGAAAGUUCUUGUCUUGUCUGCCUCGGUCUCGAAUAGCUUCAAGUCUUGUCUCUCCAAAGACGCCUAGGAAGGCGUGCCCUGGGAGUACUCCAGGCAAUGUGGAAUAUUGGAAGGACUUCAGUUCCUCCAGGGCCGGAGGAUUGAAUAAAAGGAGUGGAGUUGGAGGCCCGGAAACGUAAA
Long non-coding RNA from Monodelphis domestica (gray short-tailed opossum), 859 nucleotides. RefSeq lists it as uncharacterized. The record is from RefSeq and is a predicted model, not a curated record. NCBI's taxonomy places the organism in Eukaryota, Metazoa, Chordata, Mammalia, Didelphimorphia, Didelphidae.